RNAcentral lists this ribosomal RNA (1390 nucleotides) under uncultured bacterium. RNAcentral's name for it is "16S ribosomal RNA". It matches the Rfam family "Bacterial small subunit ribosomal RNA". The record is from RNAcentral.
AGAGUUUGAUCCUUGCUCAGGAUGAACGCUGGCGGCGUGCCUAACACAUGCAAGUCGAACGAAGCGCUUUUCCCGAAUUUUCGGAGGAGGGGAGAGUGACUGAGUGGCGGACGGGUGAGUAACGCGUGGGUAACCUGCCCUGUACACACGGAUAACAUACCGAAAGGUAUGCUAAUACAAGAUAAAAUACUUUUAUCGCAUGGUAGAAGUAUCAAAGCUUUUGCGGUACAGGAUGGACCCGCGUCUGAUUAGCUAGUUGGUAAGGUAACGGCCCACCAAGGCGACGAUCAGUAGCCGACCUGAGAGGGUGACCGGCCACAUUGGGACUGAGACACGGCCCAAACUCCUACGGGAGGCAGCAGUGGGGAAUAUUGCACAAUGGGGGAAACCCUGAUGCAGCAACGCCGCGUGAGUGAAGAAGUAUUUCGGUAUGUAAAGCUCUAUCAGCAGGGAAGAAGAUGACGGUACCUGAGUAAGAAGCCCCGGCUAACUACGUGCCAGCAGCCGCGGUAAUACGUAGGUGGCAAGCGUUAUCCGGAUUUACUUGGUGUAAAGGGCGUGUAGGCGGGACUGCAAGUCAGAUGUGAAAACCACGGGCUCAACCUGUGGCCUGCAUUUGAAACUGUAGUUCUUGAGUACUGGAGAGGCAGACGGAAUUCCUAGUGUAGCGGUGAAAUGCGUAGAUAUUAGGAGGAACACCAGUGGCGAAGGCGGUCUGCUGGACAGCAACUGACGCUGAGGCGCGAAAGCGUGGGGAGCAAACAGGAUUAGAUACCCUGGUAGUCCACGCUGUAAACGAUGGAUACUAGGUGUGGGGGGACUGACCCCCUCCGUGCCGCAGUUAACACAAUAUGUAUCCCACCGGGGGAGUACGAUCGCAAGGUUGAAACUCAAAGGAAUUGACGGGGGCCCCGCACAAGCGGUGGAGUAUGUGGUUUAAUUGGAAGCAACGCGAAGAACCCUACCUGGCCUUGACAUCCCGGUGAAUGCAGGGUAAUGCCUGCAGCCUUUCGGGGCAGCGGAGACAGGUGGUGCAUGGUUGUCGUCAGCUCGUGUCGUGAGAUGUUGGGUCAAGUCCCGCAACGAGCGCAACCCCUGCCCCUAGUAGCCAGCACGUAAAGGUGGGCACUCUAGGGGGACUGCCGGGGACAACCCGGAGGAGGGCGGGGACGACGUCAAAUCAUCAUGCCCCUUAUGGCCAGGGCUACACACGUGCUACAAUGGCGUGCACAGAGGGAAGCAAAGCGGCGACGCCAAGCAAAGCCCGGAAAGCACGCCUCAGUUCGGAUUGCAGCCUGCAACUCGGCUGCAUGAAGCCGGAAUCGCUAGUAAUCGCGGAUCAGAACGCCGCGGUGAAUACAUUCCCGGGUCUUGUACUCACCGCCCGUCA